UCCGGGGUCGUUCAAUGGCAGGACAACGGCCUUUGGAGCCGUCGAUCUUGGUUCGAGUCCAAGCCCCGGAGCCA
RNAcentral lists this transfer RNA (74 nucleotides) under Armatimonadota bacterium. RNAcentral's name for it is "Armatimonadetes bacterium (hot springs metagenome) tRNA-Gln". It matches the Rfam family "tRNA". Rfam says of the family: Transfer RNA (tRNA) molecules are approximately 80 nucleotides in length. Their secondary structure includes four short double-helical elements and three loops (D, anti-codon, and T loops). The record is from RNAcentral. Lineage: Bacteria; Bacillati; Armatimonadota.